UGCCCAGGCGCGAAAACUUUACAAUGCUGGAAACAGCGAUAGGGGGACUUCGAGUGCCAGGAUACAAUCUUGGCUGUCGUAAUGCCUAAAAAGCAUUGCAUAGCAAGGGCCGGGCAAGACCGGUGCCAGCCGCCGCGGUAACACCGGCGGCUCGAGUGGUAACCGCUAUUAUUGGGUCUAAAGGGUCUGUAGCCGGCUGGAUAAGUCUCUUGGGAAAUCCGACAGCUUAACUGUCGGGCUUUCAGGAGAUACUGUCCGGCUCGAGACCGGGAGAGGUGAGAGGUACUUCAUGGGUAGGGGUGAAAUCUUGUAAUCCUUGAAGGACCACCAGUGGCGAAGGCGUCUCACCAGAACGGAUCUGACGGCAAGGGACGAAAGCUAGGGGCACGAACCGGAUUAGAUACCCGGGUAGUCCUAGCCGUAAACGAUACUCGCUAGGUGUCAGCCACGGUGCGACCGUGGUUGGUGGCGUAGGGAAGCCGUGAAGCGAGCCACCUGGGAAGUACGGCCGCAAGGCUGAAACUUAAAGGAAUUGGCGGGGGAGCAC
This 547-nucleotide ribosomal RNA is filed under the name uncultured archaeon. RNAcentral describes it as "bacterial SSU rRNA". It matches the Rfam family "Archaeal small subunit ribosomal RNA", at positions 331 to 879 of the family's 1478-position model. The record is from RNAcentral.